UAAAAUCGAUUUAUUGACCGGCAGGUGCGAGCAGCGGCAGAUGGAGAGUAGCGCUGCCGGGGCGCAUCUGCGGGGAGCGGCGGCAUCGAUCCCGGCCCCCCUCCGAAACCUAUCGGCCUUUUCUGCGGGCUCGUUCCCAACUGCAGGGCCAAGGUCCGCGAACCCGCGGCGUCAGAGCGUCUUGGGUUGCUCGGUUCCCCCCCCUCCCCUGGUCACAGAGCCUGGGCUGCGCCCCCGCUGCUGCCAGGCCCUGCCAGCCCCACUGCCCCAGUUGGCACGCGGCGGGAGGGGCUGACGCGUGGCAGCGCCCUGCGGCAGAUGAGGCACGCGCCGGCCUCAUUUCAAUGUGAAUGGAUCGAAUGCAGCAGCCAUGUGGCAGCAACAGUUUGCAAAUCUCUCCGCCUUCUGUGCAGCUCCCUGGCCGCCGCUCCCUGCACGUGGCCGCUUCUCCGCAGCGACCGCAGGGGCGCCCCUCAAGGCUUAAGCGCCCCGCCCAAGCCAGGCCUGCUCCCCCGCCCCCGGCCUGCCAGGAGGGUGCUCUGGCCCGGCCCCCACCGCGCUCCUUCCCGCUGCAGGAAGGCUCGGAUUCCAAACAGCAGUUUGCCGAGCGACAAGCGCCAUCGGGUCAGAGACUUUGUAGAUCUCUGGGAUCCUUCGCAUUUUGCUUCUUUGAGGAUGUAUGGCACCCA
This 689-nucleotide long non-coding RNA is filed under the name Dasypus novemcinctus (nine-banded armadillo). RNAcentral describes it as "lncRNA (ENSDNOG00000049837.1)". The record is from RNAcentral. Lineage: Eukaryota; Metazoa; Chordata; Mammalia; Cingulata; Dasypodidae.